RNAcentral lists this transfer RNA (52 nucleotides) under Ornithodoros porcinus. RNAcentral describes it as "tRNA-Ser1". Lineage: Eukaryota; Metazoa; Arthropoda; Arachnida; Ixodida; Argasidae. The record is from RNAcentral.
AAGGUUAAAACCAGGCUGCUAACCUGAUAAUAAUGAUAAUCAUUUAACCUUU